UCUCAUCGGAAUAUACCGAUCCGCCGCUACCACAUCACCGAAAAAUUCAUAAAAAUGAUGGCCAAGCCUGUCCUUCACCAGAUCUACAAAAUCAGCAAACCACCGACUAAAAUUCAACUCUUGCGAUCGAUUUUGGCUAAUACUCGCCGGUAAAACACCAUUGAUGCCCCUGCCGGUCACUAUCACGAUGAAAUCCGUCGGAUAGACCCUCCUUCCGUUGAAAAUCCAUCGAGAAAGGCUAAAAUCAGUGGGUCCAAUCGAAGUCACCAGCCCACCCAUCGCCGAAAAAGGCAUCCCUUGGCUGAAAAAACACCAAAAAAAUUACAAACCACCAAAACAACAAAAACAAAGAAGAAAGCAAUACGGAAAAAAAAUUAUAUGAAAAGAAGAGAUACAAAUACUAUGGAGCACAAUGUUUAUCAACAGAUUGAGAGAUAAAAGCGAAACUUGAAAAGAAAAAUAGAUUCUCCACAACUAAACCUAUGGUCAAGUUGAUAGUAUUCAAUUUAAGGAGAAUAACACCAAAAAGAUGAGCAGGCUCGAGCAGGAAGACAACCAGCUUGAUUAAUGAGUUCAACACCCCCAAAUUCAGCGAAAGACUAAUUUCAGCAACAUGUUAUUUGUUUCCCAGUAAUUCAUAUAUGCAUAUACAAUUACAGAUACAGAGUAGGUUCAAGGUUUCUGGAGAAGGCAACCUUACUUCAAUUUACACAAGGAGGAUUAGGAGACGAUGACCAGUGACCUAUAGAAGACAUAUUCAUCUCAAUUUCAUAUUAUUUUGUCCACAAACUUAAGAUGAAUUCCAUCUCUUCUUCAUUUAUCUUCUGCAUAAAUUGUCAUUUUAGGGAGACAACACUGAACUAUCGAAGGAACAUGGACCUUAUAUUUUUAACAUACUGAAUAAUCUAAUGAAUCAAAAGCAAAGCUUUAAUUAAUUUGUGAACACUGAAGAACUAUAUGACAUGAUAAAAGCUUCUUUUCUUAGUGUAUUCUUUGCACUAAUACAAUCUUAAGUGUUUCACGUCCUUUCUACUUAUUCACAUAAAAAGAGCAGUUUUCAUUGAUAUCAUAUAUCUAAAGACAAUAGACCCAUUCAAAUCUAGUUGGAAUUACACAUAAAACUAUGCCUCUCCUUUUAAUUGUGUCAACGUCAAAUGCUAAAAAGCAGAUAAUGGGGUGUCAAAAGAGAGAUACCAAAUAGAAAAAUCCUUUUUAAUGUAUAUUAGAUUAUUGUACAAUUAGCUUGACACUAAAAAAAUGAGAUGAAUCAAGUCUCCCCUUGAGCGAACGUAUUCCAUAUACAAAAUAAAUAAGUAAGAACGUCCUAUCUCUUAUCAACUUUGGUUUAAAGAUGUUGUGGUAACUUAAUUCAAGACAUUUUCUUUCAGAGCCGUGUGAUGAACAUGAUGGUAAGGUCAAAUUCCGGACUUAAUGUGCAAUCGAAACACAUCUAACAAAGCAAAUCAAAAUUUGAAAUUAAAAAUCAUGUAGAAAAUCAACCAAAAUUAACAGAUCUACAACAGAUCUCAAGAAAUUCUAUGUAAUCAACAACAACAAAAAAAAAUUCAAAAUGUAGAAGAAUGUGGAAAAAGAAUGCCGAAAAUAAAUUACAAAAAAAAUUAUAUAAAAAAAAUAACAUGCAUAAACUGUAAAAAUCAACUUACCUGAAUAGAUGGGGACAAUGUUAUCAAGAAUUGGAGAGAAAAAAAUAAAAUUUGAAAAAAAAUAGCCGAAGAAAG
RNAcentral lists this long non-coding RNA (1739 nucleotides) under Capsicum annuum. RNAcentral's name for it is "long non-coding RNA (CANN_LNC004341)". Lineage: Eukaryota; Viridiplantae; Streptophyta; Magnoliopsida; Solanales; Solanaceae. The record is from RNAcentral.